AAUAAUUUGUAUGUAAACAACUCAUAUUAAAUAUAGUUGCACAGAUAAUUGUUGCAGGUGUGUCAGAGACAUACAGGGUGGUUUUAUUACUUAAGGGUGCUGCCUGGGUUAAAUGAAUACUUUCUGUCGCACUGGAGUUGGGGACCAACACUGUUCACGGUGCUCAGAUUGGCUUCUCACGUCUCGCAGGAUGCAAUUUGACCUGGGAGGUACCCGCUCCUGGUAACAAUGGGCUGGCUGUGGGCACCUCUGCUGUCUCACCGGACACAAGAGGGUGUCCACCUGAUCUGCACGGGGCCCCUCCGAGAAGGACGGGAGGCUUGUGGGGUCUAACAGGAUAAGGUUCAGUUUCUCUAGGUUAGCGACACUGCCCAGCUUGGGUCUUGUUAUGAGCUGUUUCUCCAGUCAGACACUUGUGUGUGCGAGUUAUCUUGAUUUUUUUUUUUUUAAAGUGGUUAUUUGAUUAUCUUUCCCUCCAGGAGUUGCAGGCACUUACUAUCUUCAGCUUGUCCAUUCAGGUCUGUAACCUGUAAAUUUUGGAGGCCUUUUGGUAUAAAUUCUGGUAACAAAGGUAGGGGAAGAAAGGAAGUGACUUGAUGACAAUUUCAAAUGAUCCUGGACUGGUUAGGGUGGGCGUGACCGCAGUAACAGAUCCAAACGUGACGACCUCAAUCCAAGCUUGUUUCUCAAUCCCAUAACAGUCUUGGGGGUGUUGCAGGUUGUGUGUGUGUGUGAGUGUGUGUUGUAGGGGAGGAGCAGUGCUCUUUAAAGCAGUUAUCUGAGGACCCAGGCUGCUGGAGAGUCUUCCUUUUUGAACGUGUGGCCUCUAAGAUUCCCUGGGGUCACCUUCCCAUUCCCUAGACGGGAGCAGAGGACGGAGGAAGGAGCAGGCUUUUACGGGCCAUGCCUGCAAGAGGCGCACAUCCCUGCAUGCACAACGUGGGGCCUCCAGCCACCAGCACGACCGGGAAGCGUGGACCAGCUGUGUACCGAGCAGGAUGGGAGCCAACCGUCUUCGCCACAAAACCAGGAGCACUCCAUUUUGUUUUGUGUGACUUGUUUUAUAAAUUGUCUUGCAAUCAAGAAGAUGACAAAAUGAAGCCAGGAGGCUUACAACAGAAUUGAGGAGUCAUAGCACGUACUUUAGGCGUCGGAGUAGCUGUUAUUUUGCAGAGUGGUUGUGCUAAGUGCUGUGAGGAAGAAGCUGAUGAGACACGCUCCCUGCCUUUUUGGAGCUGGUGGUCUCGUACAGGUUUGGUGAUGCUUGUUCCAGGGGAGCUGAGGAGCGUGUGCCUGACUGGGGGCGGGGGUGGGAGGGACAGUUAUCAUCAUCGAGUUGAAGAGAUUGGUGGUUGGCAGAGGGCCAGACUCCAGGUGAUGGGCACUUGGGAGUCAGAUGCGAGGACCAGGACCUGUACGUGCAGUGCCAGUGGUCUGCUGGGUGGGGGGCUUUAGAAAGGAGGCCCGGGGUGGGGGCGGUAUCCGUGAGGCGUCUCGCUGUGAGGGGGCCAUCACAGAAAAGGCAGCAUGGGAAUGGGCAAAAUUCCUCGUGACAAAAUGGUUUUCAUACUUUCCCAGUGUUUUCCUGUCCUGACAUCUGGGAGAUGUGACACAUUUCUGUUAGUCCCUGUGGUAGACUCUCCAAGGGUCCGGACACCCACUGGCCUGGAGACGAUUCUGCUGGGCACCUCUGCAGCCUCACGUAGUUUGGAAAGCCCGCGAGUGGUGGUCCUCUCCCUCCAUCCCUUUAACGUGAGACGGUUUAAGCGGAAGCAUCUUACAGCCAUCGACUGCCAACACCUGGCUCGGAGUCACUUGGCCGUGACCCAGGCCUUCGGUCAAAGAUGGACAAACAGAGACCCGAACCACGGUCUCUAUCCUAGACCCAGAACCAAAAGCGGGACUAGGGGUCGAGGAUGCCCGGGAUACGGCCCUGAGCUCUCCCUCGCUGGCCAGCAGCGGCGCCCCAAUGACAUGGCCAGAAGCAAUUCUGUGGGCCAGGACAGCUCUAAGGACUCGGAGGACGAGAUGAUCUUUGCUGCAGAGAGCCACUGCGCCCUGUCUCAGGGAGGUGAUGGAGCGGCAUGGCCAUGCUCGUCAGGGGCUGCUCCACCUGCGCGGAAGCGGUCUUGGUCCUUCGAAGAUGAGAGGAGUCAAGCCACGGGGACCAGUCAGUGGGACGGGGUUUCUAGGAAGACCCCUCGGCAUCAUCCUUCCCUGUCCUGCACACGGCCCAGGGAAGGCAGGCAGGAAGUAGAGGACGGUGUGUCUCGGCUCUCUGCGCAGCCUGGAGAACCCAGCCAGGAGGUGGAGGACAUUGGUCCUGAUCCCAUCCCUGACUCCUGCUACGGGCUUCUCGGGGCCUUGCCCUGCUGGGAGCCCCAGAGCCACAUCUGCAGCCUGCCCAGUGAGGUCCUGAGGCACAUCUUUGCAUUCCUCCCUGUGGAAGACCUCUACUGGAACCUGAGCUUGGUGUGCCACCUCUGGAGGGAGAUAAUCAGCGAUCCACUGUUCAUUCCUUGGAAAAAGCUGUAUCACCGAUACCUGAUGAAUGAAGAGCAAGCUGUCAGCAAAGUGGAUGGCAUCCUGUCGAGCUACGGCAUAGAGAAGGAGUCAGACCUGUGCGUGCUGAAUCUCAUCCGCUACACAGCCACCACUAAGUGCUCCCCGAGUGUGGACCCCGGACGGGCGUUGUGGAGUCUCAGGGACCACCUCCUCCUCCCCGAGGCAGAGGCCUGCGUGCGCCAGCACCUCCCCGAUCUCUACGCUGCCCCUGCCGGCGUCAACGUGUGGGCCUUGGUGGCGGCCAUCGUCCUCCUGUCCAGCAGCGUCCGCGACAUCCAGCAGCUGCUCUUCUGCCUCCGGCGGCCCGGCUCCACCGUGACCGUGCCGGACAUCACCGAGACCCUGUACUGCAUCGCCGUGCUGCUCUACGCCAUGCGGGAAAAGGGGGUCAACAUCAGCAACCGGAUUCACUACAACAUUUUAUAUUGCCUGUAUCUUCAGGAGAAUUCCUGUGCUCAGCCCACAGAAGUCAAAGCAGAACCAUCCGUCUGGCCAGGCAGGAAGACAGCCAUCCAGCUGACACACGAGCAACGGCUGAUCCUAAGCCACAAGAUGGAACCUCUCCAGGUGGUGAAAAUUAUGGCGUUUGCAGGCACUGGUAAGACCUCCACCCUGGUCAAGUACGCCGAGAAGUGGUCCGAGAGCAGGUUUCUGUACGUGACCUUCAACAAGAGCAUUGCCAAGCAGGCCGAGCUAGUCUUCCCCAGCAACGUCAUCUGCAAGACCUUCCAUUCCAUGGCCUAUGGACACAUUGGGCGCAAGUACCAAUUGAAGAAGAAGUUGAAUCUCUUCAAGUUAACCCCCUUCAUGGUCAACUCUGUCCUCGCUGAAGGCAAGGGUGGCUUCAUAAGGGCCAAGCUAGUGUGUAAGACCCUGGAAAACUUCUUUGCCUCGGCUGACGAGGAGCUGACGAUUGACCACGUGCCCAUCUGGUGUAAGAACAGCCAGGGGCAGAGAGUCAUGGUCGAGCAGGGUGAGAAGCUGAAUGGUGUCCUUGAGGCGAGCCGGCUCUGGGACAACAUGCGGAAGCUGGGCGAGUGCAAGGAGGAGGCUUACCACAUGACACAUGAUGGAUACUUGAAACUCUGGCAGCUCAGCAAGCCUCUGCUGGCCUCUUUUGAUGCCAUCUUUGUGGACGAGGCGCAGGACUGUACCCCAGCAAUCAUGAACAUAGUUCUGUCUCAGCCAUGUGGGAAGAUCUUCGUGGGGGACCCCCACCAGCAGAUCUACACCUUCCGCGGCGCAGUCAAUGCUCUGUUCACCGUGCCUCACACGCACGUCUUCUAUCUCACACAGAGUUUUAGGUUUGGUGUGGAAAUUGCCUAUGUGGGAGCUACGAUCUUGGACGUCUGCAAGCGAGUAAGAAAGAAGACUUUGGUUGGAGGCAACCAUCAGAGUGGCAUUCGAGGUGACACGAAGGGGCAGGUGGCCCUGCUGUCCCGGACCAACGCCAACGUGUUUGACGAGGCCGUCCGGGUGACGGAAGGAGAGGUGCCUGCCCGGAUACACCUGAUUGGGGGAAUUAGAUCCUUCGGAUUGGACAGAAUCAUUGAUAUUUGGACGCUUCUUCAGCCGGAGGAAGAACGGAAGAGACGAAACCUCGUCAUUAAAGACAGGUUCAUCAGCAGGUGGGCGCACAGUGAGGGCUUCAGCGGCUUCAAGCGGUACGUGACCGCAGCCGAGGACAAGGAGCUGGAAGCCAAGAUCGCGGUCGUGGAGAAGUACAACAUCCGCAUUCCAGAGCUGGUGGAGAGGAUAGAGAGGUGCCACAUAGAGGACUUGGACUUCGCAGAGUACAUCCUGGGCACCGUGCACAAGGCCAAGGGCCUGGAGUUCGACACCGUGCACGUCCUGGACGAUUUCGUGAAAGUGCCGUGUGCCAGGCACAACCUCGCUCAGCUGCCCCACUUCAGAGUCGAGUCGUUUUCUGAGGACGAGUGGAAUUUACUGUAUGUAGCAGUGACUCGUGCCAAGAAGCGUCUCAUCAUGACCAAGUCGUUGGAGAACAUUUUGACUUUGGCUGGGGAGUACUUCUUGCAAGCAGAGCUGACGAGCGACGUCUUGAAGGCGGGUGGGGUCCGCUGCUGCGUGGCGCAGUGCAGCAACGCCAUCCCCGUGGAUGCCGUGCUCACCAUGCGGAAGCUGCCCAUCACCUACAGCAACAGGAAGGAAAACAAGGGCGGCUACCUGUGCCACUCGUGCGUGGAGCAGCGCAUCGGGCCUCUGGCCUUCCUGACCGCCUCCCCUGCACAGGUGCGCGCCAUGGACCGCACCGUGGAGAACAUCGUGCUGCCCCGGCACGAGGCCCUGCUCUUCCUCGUCUUCUGAGGCGCUCCUCGGCCAGGAUGCUGGGCAGACGCCUGCCCCUGUGGACGGCGGUGUAGGGGCUCCCUUCCCGCGACUGGACUCGCUCACGGAGCAUUUUCAGAGGAAGACGGAGCCGGCCGGAGCUGGACCUGCCAUGUCUCCACCUCUGGAGCACUUCAGGGAUGCAGAUGGCAGGUGAGGGCAUUGCCCAGAGAGUUCACCGGCUCUAGAGUCUGAGCCCAGUCAGCGGAGUGGAGAGCAGACCCCUAACCUCUCCCACGUCAGGCCUCUAGUGGAGCUUAGCGAGCCGGCCGGUGAGUAAAGCAGGGGUGCUGUUGGAUCGGGCUGGGUGCUUGGAAAGGGCAAGGGCCGCGUUAACGUCUGCACGUGGCCGAGAGGUCGCAGCGCGGGCCCCAAGGGCGCAGGUGGGACGGGGCGCUUUCCUCCACUCCUCUGGCCUGGCCUGGCCUGGCCUCAUGCAGUGCUUUUGGUUAACUUGGAACAAAAUAGCAUGUGAAAGGAAACUGGAUUUGGAGGUCACGGUGCUUAGAGUCGUUCAAAAGAGGGACGUGGAGGGGUGGGUGGCAGGCGGGGCCUGUGAACGUGUUUUCUGGAAAUCUGCUUUUAGCAGCCAGAGAGGAGGCAGCUUAUUGGGAGAAGUUGUGAAUUCUCUAGGCCUGUUGUGGGGCAGGGCCCUGGUCGUGGACGUCUGGAAUUAACUGUGGUCCUAACUUGGAGGUGGUAGUAAGAAGUGUGAUGCGGUGUGGGGUGUUGGAGGCGGGCCGCACAGGUGUGGGGUGGGGGGCGUCCGGAGAGGGGGCCGCACUGCUGCCCUGGGGCGGGAGGGGUGUCUCUAUCAGAGGAGAGGUCAGAGAACCUUCGAAGCGGGAGGUGCUGGAGCUGUGUUUAAUAACGGGGUGAGUCGUUAGCUAUUAAAGAAGAGAAGAAUAUUCUAGAAAGAAGGACCAGCACGAAGGUGUUUGUGGUCACGGCACCACCAGGGCAAAACGUCAGCACUAGUAUUUUGGUACUUAUUUAAAAAAUAAUAGGAUCCAGGGAUUGAUACUGGUACUUUAUUUUUUAAGCGUUAAGAAUUUUAAAAAUCAGUAAAAUCAAAUGGUGUGUUUCAAAUAGAAAAACAGUUUUUAAAUACACAGUAAAAAUAGAAAUGUUAUUUAUUUUAGUUUCUUAAGGAAAU
Hippopotamus amphibius kiboko is the source of this 6070-nucleotide RNA transcript. It is a transcript of the gene named F-box DNA helicase 1, with no coding region annotated. The record is from RefSeq and is a predicted model, not a curated record. Lineage: Eukaryota; Metazoa; Chordata; Mammalia; Artiodactyla; Hippopotamidae. The transcript has 22 exons.